Molecule: long non-coding RNA, 333 nt
Filed under: Homo sapiens (human)
Lineage: Eukaryota; Metazoa; Chordata; Mammalia; Primates; Hominidae
Description: novel transcript
Source: RNAcentral
CAUAUGCAUGUUCUCGUCCAUGGGCUCAUACCCAGUCCAAAGGACUUUACCCCAGCUCCAUCUUUGCCCAGACACACUUGAGGCUGCAGGGUUUUGUUUGGAUGUGUGUCCCCUCCAACUCUCAUGUUAAAGUGUGAUCCCCAAUGUUGGAGGUGAGGCCUGGGGAGGUGUUUUGGUCAUGGGAGGAGAUUCCUCACAAAUGUCUUGGUGCCCUCCUCACAGUAAUAAGUGAGUUCUCACCCUGUUACUUUGUGCAAGAGCUGGUGACUUGAGUCUGACAUCUCUCCUGUUCUCUGUCUUGCCAUGUGACGUGACUGCUCCUCCUUUGCCUUC